This 82-nucleotide transfer RNA is filed under the name Echinostoma caproni. It matches the Rfam family "tRNA". From Rfam's summary of the family: Transfer RNA (tRNA) molecules are approximately 80 nucleotides in length. The record is from Rfam by way of RNAcentral. Lineage: Eukaryota; Metazoa; Platyhelminthes; Trematoda; Plagiorchiida; Echinostomatidae.
GGCCCCGUAGCUCAGCUGGUAGAGCGUGCGCGUACAAAGCGUAGGCGGCGUCCAUGCGUGGGUUCGAAUCCCACCGAGGCUA